CUUCCCAUUGAUUUGCUGCUCUGGUCUUCCAGUGACAGGAGCAGUUAUACGCAUGGGAGAGAACAAUUUAGGCCGUUGUCAAUUGAGAUGGAGUAACCAUUUCAUCUCUUCUGCGCGGUCCAGACAUUG
Small nucleolar RNA from Hyaena hyaena (striped hyena), 129 nucleotides. RefSeq annotates it as small nucleolar RNA SNORA20. NCBI's taxonomy places the organism in Eukaryota, Metazoa, Chordata, Mammalia, Carnivora, Hyaenidae. The transcript has a single exon. The record is from RefSeq and is a predicted model, not a curated record.